This 93-nucleotide small nuclear RNA is filed under the name Erinaceus europaeus (western European hedgehog). RNAcentral describes it as "U2 spliceosomal RNA (ENSEEUG00000022373.1)". It matches the Rfam family "U2 spliceosomal RNA", at positions 1 to 89 of the family's 192-position model. From Rfam's summary of the family: U2 is a small nuclear RNA (snRNA) component of the spliceosome (involved in pre-mRNA splicing). Lineage: Eukaryota; Metazoa; Chordata; Mammalia; Eulipotyphla; Erinaceidae. The record is from RNAcentral.
AUCACUUCUCAGCCUUUUGGCUAAGAUCAAGGGUAGUAUCUGUUCUUAUCAGUCUAAAAACAAGCACUGAGUUGAAAGAUGAGUUCAAACACC